AUGUGGCUUAAUUUGACUCAACGCGGGAAAUCUUACCGGGUCCGGACACACUGAGGAUUGACAGGCAAUAUAUGUGACUCUUCGGAGUUUGCAUUGUUAAAUAUGCUAGUCCUUUCAUGAUUAUGUGAUAGGUGGUGCAUGGCCGUUCUUAGUUCGUGGAGUGAUCUGUCUGCUUAAUUGCGUUUCAAAUUACUUAUAAGGUAGCAAUACGCGAUGAAGCUUUCAAUAGUCCUCACGGAUUCACUUGAGUCUCUCGCUUCGCUAUCCUUUCGAAUGCAACGAACGUGACCGCAACCUCUUGUUGCCUUCGUUUAACAUCCUGCAGCUCGCUGUGGGUACUGAGGGCUUCACUCGGUGACUUUGGGCUGAGCAAUCGGUCU
This 380-nucleotide ribosomal RNA is filed under the name Globigerinita uvula. Its description in RNAcentral is "bacterial SSU rRNA". It matches the Rfam family "Eukaryotic small subunit ribosomal RNA", at positions 1184 to 1402 of the family's 1831-position model. The record is from RNAcentral. Lineage: Eukaryota; Foraminifera; Rotaliida; Globigerinitidae.